AUCGACCACCCACACUGCAAAAGCAAGGAAUAAACACCCCACCAAAAUGAUGUGAUUUACUUUUCUUGUUUUUGAAUGAUGUGAUUUGUUUUUUGGAGACAUCUGUAUAAACCCCAUUAAAGGGUAAUAAUAAAAAUAAAAUAAAAAAUAAAUAAAACUGCAAAGCCCAAAGUAAAUGGGCUGGAAUGCUGUGUGGAGGGCGAAGGCCCAUAAGCCCAAAAUAGCACCAACCAGGUGAUCAAAAGUACGUCCAGUACUACAAAAAAUUAUUCGGCAGCAUGCCGCUAUUAUCACCAACCAGGUGAUCAAAAGUACGCCCAGUAUUCCAAAAAUUAUUCGGCAACCUGCCGCUAUU
This 355-nucleotide long non-coding RNA is filed under the name Malus domestica (apple). Its description in RNAcentral is "long non-coding RNA (MDOM_LNC012162)". The record is from RNAcentral. Lineage: Eukaryota; Viridiplantae; Streptophyta; Magnoliopsida; Rosales; Rosaceae.